AUGCCCUCCCCACUAGGAAAAGGCCUGGCUCUGAGCAGCCGCUGCUGCUUCGAGCUCCGGCUCUGCCGCCGCGGCGUCAGGGUCGUUGCCGCCCAGCCCAGGCGGGGCUUAGGUUCCCGCUCCUCCGAUGUUUACGUUUGGUCAAAAACUCCUCAGGCAGAAAUAACUAAUGCCGCCCCCCGGAAGCUUAUACCACGUGGCAGAGUGGGGUCACAAAGCGGGGAGCAGUGGCACGAAGGGGAAGGGGAGAAAGACCUCCCUGUUCCCUCCCCCACCCUGCAGGGGCCUUCCUCUUAGGCUGCAGAGCCAAGGGUCGCUCUCCGUGGUGGAGCUCCCUCUGCAGAAGACCCCCUGGAAAAUUGCACCUCAGCAGUGGUGACAUUUUAUGGGCCAUGAUUUGCUGCAUUUAUGGCUCUGGUGGUGCAGGUGCAGAGUCGUAGGCUCCCCUUCUCACCCCGCAAAUUGCUCACAGUGCAAUCUGUCAUCUUCAAGGCUAGGUGUGAACCGGGCAGGGUUGCCCUUAAAAUGGAAUUGCAGUUAAAGGCCGAGAUCUGAAAGGAAGCGCUCCAACCGGGGCGUGGCUUUUCCCACCGGGUCUGGACUUUUCCUUCAGGCCCCGCCGUGCGUGCCCAUCGGCUUGGCUGUCGCAGCUUGGGGGGACUGGGCGCCCCGGGCUCUGCCUGCCUGCAGAGCUCCAGUCCUUUCCGUUACAGGCCUGUGGAAUCCUCCACCGAACAAGGCCUCGCGCUGGCCUCUGCCCCACCCCACUGCGAGGAGCUGCUCCUCCUCCGAGGCCUGUGGUUUUUCUCCCCGCAGAGUGGGCUUGGUGGCGGCACCGCAUGGCGCAAACAGCACGGGGGGCUUUGGAACCGCCUGGACUUGAGCCCUACCCCACCACAUAUUCGCUGUGUGAGUGUGGAUCCGGUGGUUACCCUGUCUACAGCCCGCGUCUUAAAAUGGGAGUAGUAACAAUCCCCUCAAUAGUUGUUCUGAGGAUUAAGUGAAAUUCAGAUUUCAUAAGAGACGUCCUUUUUCAAUAGUCAGGUCUCUCGCCUUCAUAAGUCAAGUUCCACUCGGGCCAGAGGCCCUGUGGUUGUUUCUGAAAACAAGGUCAGUAGAAGUGCUAGACCCAUUGUUUCCUUAACUCUGCCCUUCCCCCUACCCUCCUGGCUCUCUGGAGCCCGCAGCCUCUUCCGACCCACUUCCACCUUCACCCACACCCACAGGCUUACAGGGCAGAGCUGUUUUGUUGACGGGGCGGGGGUGGGGUUGGGGGUGGGGGCGGGGUUGGGGAUGGGGGUGGGGGGGGGGGGGGGGGGGGUGGAGGCGUGAAAACUGUACCUCUGACUUAAGCUGGACCAUUCACGGCCUUUCUCAAAUUUCCCUCCCCCACCUUGCCACAGGGGAUUGGUCCCAGCGGGAAGAGCUGACAUAUUUGAAUCCAAUCAAAAGCCUUCUUGGAAAAUUUUGAAACUGGAAGUGAAAAAGUCAAGUUUCUCCCCAGGGCUAAAACUGCAAGAUAUUAUAAUGUACAUGACCAUGUUUCCCAUGGUCAGGAGAGGAGAGGCAAGGUCAAUCUGAAGGCAGAACUCAUGAUAGGGACACAGACAGAAACAGAGAUAAAGAUCGAGCAAAAGACAAAGAUAGAGCCUGAGCCACAGCCAGACAGGCUGGGAGAGAGAGCUGAGGCCAACAGGAGUCUGAUGUUAUGGGCAGCAUCGGUUCCUGUGUCCCUGGUAAGGCCCUGCCUGCCCCUGAUUCCUUGUGGCAACCCAUUAUUUUUUGCCACAAAUUCUUAUUGUUCAAAUUAGUUUGUUUUUGUUGCUUGUAAUCCAAAAAUUCCACCAUGGCAUUUACUAGUUUAACAUACACAGUAAAGAGCUCCCCAGCUCCCAUUAUAAACCCCACGUAUACUUCUAUCCCCCGCAGUAUACGUCAGUGCCCCAUAACGAGGUGCUCAAUAAAUGCUCUUCAGAUUGCACUCAGCAACUUGUGAGUGGACAGGAAGUGCUCUGGUGGCUGUUGAAACUGGAGACUUCAACUGGUUAAUUUAAAGGGGAAGCAUCGCCAAUUGCCACAGACUUCUAGAAGCCCAUUUAUUGUACCCUAGUGGUAAUUAAGGCUUAUUCAAGUGAAUAGAAAGAGAAAAGAGAAGAAACUUUAUCCCCUCUAAAUUGCAUUUAAUAAAAAUCUUGGAGAAAAUGAGUGAAUUGUCAGGCUUAAUAAUUUCCCCUGGGUCUUUGUUGGAGGGAGGCUGAGGAAAUGUACAGUAUUCUACAUUUAUGGGACAGCAGAUCGGCAUUUUAACUGAGAGUAAAAUGCAGUCGUGGCUUACCCUCCUUUUUUUCCCCCUCAUUUGUUUCCAAAGGGUUUUUUCCAGCUCAUGAGUCACUUCCAGUCAGAUUCAAAGACAAAAGCCGGCUAAUUGUGUGUCCAUGAGUCAGGGUCCCACCCUGCCUUAUCUGAACACCCUUUCUAGCUCUGAGAAGACAGAGCAAUUUUCAGCCUAUAAGGCAUUGAGUGGAACCUGUUCCACACCGCUUCUGGGUCGGGCUCUUUAGGGAGCAGUCCAGGCCCUUCCAUCUCCUUCUGGCAUCCGGCUGCUGAUAGCACCUUGGGGUGUUUCCUUUCCAGUGUUAUUUUCAGUCAGGAACUGUGCAGUCUACCCUGUUCCUAAGGCACCCUGUUGUGCCCAGAGAGAUAAAGGUGAAUUUAAAAGGAGGUCCAAACCCUCUAGCAAUUUAUCAAAUAAUGAAGGAGAAAGGCAGAAAAGAAUCACUGUUAGACAAGCUUUGAGGGCUAUGGAAGAGUAAGUGCUAAGACUAGUGAUUUCUCAGUCUGCUCCCCUUGCUGUGUCUCCGCAGCAUUUUAUCUGGUUGACUUUCCAACUACUUGAAACAUUUUAUCUGGAGACUUCCCUGAUGUUAUUUUGUUUUCCAAGCAGUUCUCUACUCCCCACUCCCACUUUUUCUCUUAUCCUCAUGCCUUAAAUGCUAC
RNAcentral lists this long non-coding RNA (2997 nucleotides) under Macaca mulatta (Rhesus monkey). Its description in RNAcentral is "lncRNA (ENSMMUG00000062094.1)". The record is from RNAcentral. Lineage: Eukaryota; Metazoa; Chordata; Mammalia; Primates; Cercopithecidae.